UUAGACGGUAGGGUAUUGGCCUACCGUGGCUAUGACGGGUAACGGGGAAUUAGGGUUCGAUUCCGGAGAGGGAGCCUGAGAAACGGCUACCACAUCUAAGGAAGGCAGCAGGCGCGCAAAUUACCCAAUCCUAAUACAGGGAGGUAGUGACAAGAAAUAACAAUACAGAACCUUACGGUUUUGUAAUUGGAAUGAGUUAAGUAUAAACCCCUUAACAAGUAUCAAUUGGAGGGCAAGUCUGGUGCCAGCAGCCGCGGUAAUUCCAGCUCCAAUAGCGUAUAUUAAAGUUGUUGCAGUUAAAAAGCUCGUAGUUAAUCUUCUGUUAAUUUUUAUAUAUAAUAUCUCGAUAUUUAUAUAAUAUUAACAUAAUUCAUAUUACUUUUUAGUAUAUGAAACUUUACUUUGAGAAAAUUAGAGUGCUUAAAGCAGGCUAUUGCCUUGAAUACUCCAGCAUGGAAUAAUAUUAAGGAUUUUUAUUCUUCUUAUUGGUUCUAGAAUAAAAAUGAUGAUUAAUAGGAACAGUUGGGGGCAUUUGUAUUUAACAGUCAGAGGU
Molecule: ribosomal RNA, 553 nt
Filed under: Cryptosporidium xiaoi
Lineage: Eukaryota; Apicomplexa; Conoidasida; Eucoccidiorida; Cryptosporidiidae
Description: SSU rRNA
Rfam family: Eukaryotic small subunit ribosomal RNA
Source: RNAcentral